RNAcentral lists this RNase P RNA (387 nucleotides) under Neobacillus niacini. RNAcentral describes it as "RNase P class B". It matches the Rfam family "Bacterial RNase P class B". From Rfam's summary of the family: Ribonuclease P (RNase P) is a ubiquitous endoribonuclease, found in archaea, bacteria and eukarya as well as chloroplasts and mitochondria. Its best characterised activity is the generation of mature 5'-ends of tRNAs by cleaving the 5'-leader elements of precursor-tRNAs. Lineage: Bacteria; Bacillati; Bacillota; Bacilli; Caryophanales; Bacillaceae. The record is from RNAcentral.
AAUGGUGAGUAAUCGCGGCUUAUGUUUACAUGAGUUGAGGAAAGUCCAGGCUCGCCCGGUGCUGAGAUGCCCGGAGUGUUCGUGCCAUCUGCAAAGGUGGGCAGCAGACUUCGUACUGCUGACGGCGGAGAAAUCAUGCUAAGUCCUUGAAGGAUAUGCUGAGAGUAACCUGAAAGUGCCACAGUGACGAAUUCUUUUGGAAACAGAAGAAAUGGAACGGGUAAACCCCACGAGCGAGCAACCCAAACUUUGGUAGGGGCACCAUCCAGCGGGAAUAAGGAACCAAAAGGAUGGAUCGGUCUUCUUGACUGAUAGUCAUAUGAUUACACCUGUACGUGCGAGAUUGGCAUCGUGAUAGCACGCAGGAACAGAACCUGGCUUACAGCC